GCAGCUUUGAACAUUCCACAUGUGCGUCCAAAAUCGCGUACUUACACACUAGUCUAUGACAUUCUGUAGUAUAAAUAGUGCGAGUAGU
Molecule: long non-coding RNA, 88 nt
Organism: Sinocyclocheilus anshuiensis
Lineage: Eukaryota; Metazoa; Chordata; Actinopteri; Cypriniformes; Cyprinidae
Exons: 4
Source: RefSeq, a predicted model, not a curated record